Molecule: ribosomal RNA, 386 nt
Filed under: uncultured bacterium
Lineage: Bacteria
Description: bacterial SSU rRNA
Rfam family: Bacterial small subunit ribosomal RNA
Source: RNAcentral
ACUCCUACGGGAGGCAGCAGUGGGGAAUAUUGCACAAUGGGCGCAAGCCUGAUGCAGCCAUGCCGCGUGUGUGAAGAAGGCCUUCGGGUUGUAAAGCACUUUCAGUCGUGAGGAAGGUAGUGUAGUUAAUAGCUGCAUUAUUUGACGUUAGCGACAGAAGAAGCACCGGCUAACUCCGUGCCAGCAGCCGCGGUAAGUACGGAGGGUGCGAGCGUUAAUCGGAAUUACUGGGCGUAAAGCGCAUGCAGGUGGUUUGUUAAGUCAGAUGUGAAAGCCCGGGGCUCAACCUCGGAAUAGCAUUUGAAACUGGCAGACUAGAGUACUGUAGAGGGGGUAGAAUUUCAGGUGUAGCGGUGAAAUGCGUAGAGAUCUGAAGGAAUACCGGU